This 118-nucleotide small nucleolar RNA is filed under the name Tupaia belangeri (northern tree shrew). Its description in RNAcentral is "Small nucleolar RNA SNORA63 (ENSTBEG00000018924.1)". The record is from RNAcentral. Lineage: Eukaryota; Metazoa; Chordata; Mammalia; Scandentia; Tupaiidae.
AAGCAGGAUUUAGACUAUAAUAAAUCUGUUAAGUGCUGUGUUGUCAUUCCUCCUGCUCAAAAUAAACUUGUUUCUUACCUAUACUAUACCUGUAAAAAAAAGGGGGGGGGGACAACAA